RNAcentral lists this ribosomal RNA (2673 nucleotides) under Triticum aestivum (bread wheat). RNAcentral describes it as "partial small subunit ribosomal RNA". The record is from RNAcentral. Lineage: Eukaryota; Viridiplantae; Streptophyta; Magnoliopsida; Poales; Poaceae.
AUGACUACUAAUCUAUAUAAAGCCAAGCAUCCAAUAGUUGUUGACACUCAUUUGUGUGGCACACCAUCCUAUUGUCUAAUGGCAAUUGUAAAGCCGUCUGGUGAGCUUCUCAGGCUCCUCACCUUCCUCAUUUGCCUACUCCAUCAUUGCAACGCAGGCUAUGACGUCGACUCGGUCGUCGGGGCGCGGAGCCUAUUAUCGGCCAAUCUGAAACUUGUAGGCGGGACGACGGAGUUCGGUCCUGAUGUCAAGAGGCUCGACCUAACUGCAAGCCUAGAGACGGAUAGUCGGCUCCAUGUGCGCAUCACCGACGCCGACCAUCAGAGAUGGGAGGUCCCCCAGGAUGUCAUCCCACACCCAACGUCAGUGUCAGAGGACGUUUUGCUCGGAUCGGCAGGCAUGGACAAUGCCACCUUGUCGAGCAGCGCCACCAUCUCCAAGGUGUCUUCGGACCUGACCUUCUCCAUCCACAUGAAUCCGUUCCGCUUCACCGUCUCCCGCCGCUCCACCGGUGACACCCUCUUCGACACUUCUGCAACCCUCAUCUUCAAGGACCGGUACUUGGAGGUGACGACGGCGCUUCCAGCCGGGCGGGCAUCAUUGUACGGGUUCGGCGAGCACACGAAACGGACGUUCCGGCUCCAGCCCAAUGACACGUUCACGCUGUGGAACGAGGACCUGGAGAGGUCAGACCUACUGGACCGUAACCUCUACGGCUCGCACCCAUUCUACAUGGAUGUGCGCCCUGGCGGCAAUGCGCAUGGCGUGCUCCUCCUCAACAGCAAUGGCAUGGACAUACUGUAUGGCGGGUCCUACAUCACCUACAAAGUCAUCGGUGGCGUGCUCGACUUCUACUUCUUCGCCGGCCCCUCCCCGCUUGCCGUCGUCGACCAGUACACCCAGUUCAUCGGCCGCCCUGCCCCAAUGCCAUACUGGUCAUUCGGGUUCCACCAGUGCAGGUAUGGCUACAAGAAUGUGGCUGACCUGGAGGAGGUGGUCGCCGGCUACGCCAAGGCCAAGAUCCCCCUGGAGGGGAUCUGGUCAGACAUCGACUACAUGGACCGCGGCCAGGAUUUCACGCUGGAUCCGAUCAACUUUCCGGUGAACCGUCUCCGGCCGUUCGUCGACCGGCUCCACAGCAACGGCCAGAAGUAUGUGGUCAUCAUAGACCCGGAGAUCAAAAGGCAAGCAACGCCUAACGAGGACUUUUUCCUCAAGAGAAAUGGCACCAACGUGGUGGGCAGGGUGUGGCCAGGCGAGGUGUACUUCCCGGACUUCAUCAACCCACGCGCCGUGGAGUACUGGGCGCAGAAGAUCUCCGAGUUCCGGCGGACCAUCCCCGUAGACGGGCUAUGGUGCGACAUGAACGAGCCCUCCAACUUCGGGGCCUGGCAGCCGCUCAACGCGCUGGACGACCCGCCCUACCGCAUCAACAACUCCGGCACGCAUCGUCCCCUCAACAACCAAACCCUGCCGGUCUCCACUGUGCACUACAAUGGUGUGUCCGAGUACGACGCGCACAACCUCUUCGGCCUCUACGAGGCACGUGCCACGCAUGCCGCACUGCUCAAGGACACCGCGCGCCGCCCCUUCGUGCUCAGCCGCUCCACCUUCCCCGGAGCGGGGCGGUACGUCGCGCACUGGACCGGCGACAAUUCCGCGCGGUGGGACGAGCUUGCGAACUCCAUCAACACGAUGCUCAGCUUUGGCCUCUUUGGCAUCCCCAUGGUCGGCGCCGACAUAUGCGGCUUCAGGGGCAACACAAGCCAGGAGCUCUGCAGCCGCUGGAUCCAGCUUGGUGCGUUCUACCCGUUCGCGAGGGCGCACACGGAGAGAACCACCGAACGACGAGAGCUCUAUGUGUGGGAGUCGACGGCGCAGUCGGCGAGGAAAGCGUUCGGGACGCGGUACCGGAUGCUCCCCUACAUGUACACGCUCAUGUACGAGGCGCACACAACAGGGGCACCCAUCGCACGCCCGCUCUUCUUCUCCUACCCGCAGGACGCCGAUACGUACGGCGUGGACAAGCAGUUCCUGCUCGGGCGCGGCGUGCUUGUAUCUCCGGUGCUACAGCCGGGUGCCACCACCGUCGACGCCUAUUUCCCGGCAGGCCGGUGGUUCAGCCUCUAUGACCACAACUACCCCCGCACGGUGGACACGCGGACCGGCAAGCGUGUUACACUCCAGGCACCAGUGGACUCGGCGAACGUCCACCUCGCUGGCGGCAACAUCCUACCGCUGCAGCAGCCGGGCCUUACCACAUCCGCCGCACGGCAAGGCGAGUUCCACCUCCUUGUGGCACUCGCGGAGAACGGCAUGGCCAGCGGGGAGCUGUUCUUGGACGAUGGCGAGUCGACCGAGAUGGGCGGGGUGGGAGGCAACUGGACCCUGGUGAAAUUUAGCUGCAGCACGGAGGAGAGCAAGGGCAUCAUCACGACCACGGUGAGUUCCCAUGUGGUGCACAACUCAUACACGCCGAGUCGGGCGCCGGUGAUCGGCAAGGUGGUCUUCAUGGGGCUCCAGUCGCCAGCAAAGGGGUUCACUAUCUAUGUGAACAACGUUGAGCUCAAGGCAGCCCGCACCAAGUCCCGGACGAGUGGAGCGCUUAGCGUCAGUGGCCUGUCGCUGGCCAUUGGAAAGGAGUUCAAGAUCAAGGUCGUCAUGUCCCAUUAA